This is a non-coding RNA of Cavia porcellus (domestic guinea pig), 70 nucleotides long. Lineage: Eukaryota; Metazoa; Chordata; Mammalia; Rodentia; Caviidae. The record is from Rfam.
GGAGAUUUAGCUCAGCGGCAUAAGCGCCUGCCUUGCAAGCAGGCAGUCAUCAGUUCAAUCCCUGGUACCG